Molecule: ribosomal RNA, 423 nt
Filed under: uncultured archaeon
Lineage: Archaea
Description: partial 16S ribosomal RNA
Rfam family: Archaeal small subunit ribosomal RNA
Source: RNAcentral
CUACGGGAUGCAGCAGUCGAGAAUCUUUUACAAUGCGCGAAAGCGUGAUAGAGCGAAUCAGAGUGUUUUUCAAUUUGAAAGACUUUUGGAAAAUCUAAAAAGUUUUCCGAAUAAGGACUGGGUAAGACGAGUGCCAGCCGCCGCGGUAAUACUCGCGGUCCAAGUCGCAGCCAUUUUUAUUGGGUCUAAAACAUCCGUAGCUUGCUUAAUAAGUUUCUUGUGAAAUUUCAUGUCUUAAAUGUGAAGCGUGCAAGAAAUACUGUUAAGCUAGAGACUGGAAGACGGAAGAAGUACAUUCGGAGUAGCGGUUAAAUGUGUUAAUCCCGAAUGGACUCACAAUUAGCGAAGGCAUCUUUCGAGAACAGUUCUGACAGUAAGGGAUGAAGGCCAGGGGCGCAAAACGGAUUAGAUACCCGGGUAGUC